RNAcentral lists this ribosomal RNA (158 nucleotides) under Clonostachys rosea. Its description in RNAcentral is "5.8S ribosomal RNA". The stretch from base 1 to 116 matches the Rfam family "5.8S ribosomal RNA", at positions 39 to 154 of the family's 154-position model. Rfam says of the family: 5.8S ribosomal RNA (5.8S rRNA) is a component of the large subunit of the eukaryotic ribosome. Lineage: Eukaryota; Fungi; Ascomycota; Sordariomycetes; Hypocreales; Bionectriaceae. The record is from RNAcentral.
AAGAACGCAGCGAAAUGCGAUAAGUAAUGUGAAUUGCAGAAUUCAGUGAAUCAUCGAAUCUUUGAACGCACAUUGCGCCCGCCAGUAUUCUGGCGGGCAUGCCUGUCUGAGCGUCAUUUCAACCCUCAUGCCCCUAGGGCGUGGUGUUGGGGAUCGGC